GACAGAGGGUGCAAACGUUGUUCGGAAUUACUGGGCGUAAAGCGCACGUAGGCGGCUUUGUAAGUUAGAGGUGAAAGCCUGGUGCUCAACACCAGAAUUGCCUUUAAGACUGCAUCGCUUGAACGUCGGAGAGGUGAGUGGAAUUCCGAGUGUAGAGGUGAAAUUCGUAGAUAUUCGGAAGAACACCAGUGGCGAAGGCGGCCAUCUGGACCGCAACUGACGCUGAGGCGCGAAAGCGUGGGGAGCAAACAGG
Molecule: ribosomal RNA, 253 nt
Filed under: uncultured bacterium
Lineage: Bacteria
Description: partial 16S ribosomal RNA
Rfam family: Bacterial small subunit ribosomal RNA
Source: RNAcentral